AAGAGUUAGGGUCUUUCAGGCCCGACCUCCCAACCCUUUGUUUACUGAACCAUUGUUGCUUCGGUGGGUCCGUCUCACGACCGCCGGGGGGGGACCGCCGCGAGGCCACCCCUCCCCUGGCCCGCACCCGCCGAUAGCCCAACCUUUAAAAUCCUUUAUGAAUCGUGUCUUAUGUCUAAAUCAUGAUAACAAAUCAAAUUA
RNAcentral lists this unclassified non-coding RNA (201 nucleotides) under uncultured fungus. Its description in RNAcentral is "sequence contains ITS1, 5.8S rRNA gene". Lineage: Eukaryota; Fungi. The record is from RNAcentral.